AUGGCGUGCUUCAACUGCAGUGAGUCCCCGGCCAUGGCCGGGUGCCCCUUUGGUCGCGACGCAGCGCCGUCGGCGGUGGGCAUCAUGAUGCCGUCAUGGAGGCACAAUCAGAUCGACCUCUCGCGCAGCCGGCCGCCGCCCUCGUUGCCGCAGACGGAGGCUGCCUCCUCGCCGGAUCGGGUCGGAGCGGCGUCCCAAGAGACAAGACGCACACGGUGCCCGCCGCCUCGAUCUACCUCUCCCGGCGCGGCCCAUCUGGACGAGAUGUUGCCGUGGUGGAUCUGGCCACCGCCCCGCUGA
This 300-nucleotide ribosomal RNA is filed under the name Triticum aestivum (bread wheat). Its description in RNAcentral is "partial small subunit ribosomal RNA". Lineage: Eukaryota; Viridiplantae; Streptophyta; Magnoliopsida; Poales; Poaceae. The record is from RNAcentral.